AUUAACCUGAGAUGCACGAUAACCUUUACUAGUUUUGAACCUACAUUUACUUUAAACGGGAUUCCUAUAUUGCCAGAUGGCUGUCAGGCCUCCACGAUGGUGCUUGCACUGUCGGAUCGCAGUGGAAGACAAAAGUUUGGUUGCGGUUACCCACCUAGCAUUGCUAGGAGUCAAAAAGUAAAGGGCGGCAUUUUGGGCAAACA
RNAcentral lists this non-coding RNA (203 nucleotides) under Lachnospiraceae bacterium. RNAcentral's name for it is "6S RNA". It matches the Rfam family "6S / SsrS RNA". Rfam says of the family: E. coli 6S RNA was the first non coding RNA to be sequenced, but its function was unknown until recently. Lineage: Bacteria; Bacillati; Bacillota; Clostridia; Lachnospirales; Lachnospiraceae. The record is from RNAcentral.